This 2216-nucleotide long non-coding RNA is filed under the name Marmota monax (woodchuck). The record is from RNAcentral. Lineage: Eukaryota; Metazoa; Chordata; Mammalia; Rodentia; Sciuridae.
GUUCCCUCAAAGGGAAUGGGAAGUAACAUAUUCAUUAUUACUUAUUCCAAAACUCUAACAGUGUUUUUUAAAUGCUAUAUUUUAGAAACAAAGACUGUUCCAGAAGACCCUAAUAGCUCAAGAAAAGCUGUUGCUUUCUUAUUGCCAUUCUGUAUUAUUUUGCAAGCUGUCAAAUAUUCACUAAGAGCAAAAGAGUACAUAGUUUAGAGAAACCAGGUAGCAAGAAAAGUCUUAAAUUCCCCCUUUCAAGGAAGAUAUUCAACAACACAUUUUACAUGAGCAUUAACAAUACCUGUGUAAGUAGCUGAUUCAAAAUAAAUACUGUGACCAGUAUCAUGAUUACAGGAAUUGAUUGACACAGCAGGUCCAUAGCCUUAACCUACCCUUCAACUUUAUUCCCUACAAUUUCUUCCUUAUUCUCUCACUCCAACCACACUUUUUUCUGUUUCCUGAAAGACCUAUGCUCCUUUCCAACAUAGGGGCCUUGAGCAUGCAACUACUGCUGCCUAAAAUACUGUGUCCUUGCCUUCUAUUUAUUCUCCUCCCUAAGACCUCAAACAAACCAUUAUAUCUGUGGGAAGCUUUCAAUGACCCUCCAAUUGUGGAUUCAACCCCCUCCAUGUCCACACAUGUACAACUAUGUAAUCACCAUACAUAACUCUUGCUCUUCAAUACACCAAGGAUCUGGUAAUAUUACUUCCUAUGAUAUUCCCAGGGGUUAGCACAACAUGCAACACACACUGGAAAUCAAAAUAUUGCUCCAGUGUGGAAUGAAAUCAUCAUGUAUAACCCUGGGUGAGAUAAUACUAAGGUUCCUAAAAUAGCAGCUUUGAAACCUCAAGAAAUUUGGAAACUGCUAGGGAAGAAAAGGUACAUGUUGACUAACAAGAAAGCAAAGGCAUGUUCAUAAAAUUUGUGAAUAAAGCUGAAUUAGGUGACUUAUAUCUUAAAAAGACUUGGAUCCUGUGAUAAUUAGAGAAGAAGGUAGGGAAACAUCUGAGGGUGGCGAAUAUCAUGAGCAAAAAUAUCAAGGAAGAAGGAAAACCAAUUUUGACAAGAAGAGUUAACAGCCUACCUUGCUGACAGGGGAAGGACUGUGUUACCAAGAACAGGUGAGGCGGUGAGGCACAGGGCCAGCAGCCCUAUGGAAAGGGCCUUCACCCAGGGCUGGGCACAUUGGCUUCCAUCAGCACAAACUGGUGAAGGGGCCACCACAGAAAAGGAUCAUUUUAAGAUGAGGCAAACUACAGGGUACAUUUUAAAAACAGUUGGCAAUGGAGAAUUAAGUUUUAAAAUAACAGUUUUACAUGAAUAUGAUUACAAAUUGGAAAGAGAAUAAGGAUAAACAACCUUAUGUUGACUUAAUCAUUUAGGAAAGGGCUCAGCUACAAGCAAUAGAAAGUCUACACUACACUGGGUUAAUCAGAUUGAACUACUUCCUUCUCUCCUCACAACUAAAAGCAGAGGCAAGCAGCUCAGGGUUUAGUUAGGCAGGUCCAUCUAGCUCCCACUAACUGGGGCUCAUUCUUCUUUUCCCUGAACCUGUUAUUAAAGUCUCCAGAUGGAUAAUUCUCUCAACACCUCGGUAAAAACACUGGCCUCAUAUUCAUUUGCAUGUUACUACAUUUCAAUAGGAAAAAUACAAGGCAUGCCUCAAUAAAGAAAUACACUGAUUCAGAACUAGAGGCCCAUAUUACUGGGAAUCCAAGGAGAGUGUCUAAGAGUUCUGGAUAUGAAUUCCAAAUGCAAUGACAGAGUUUUAUGAUGUACUCUAAGUUUCCCAUCCCGACAUCAGGCUGAAGAAUCCAGCAUAGCCUCACUACUAGAAAUCCCCUAAACUUGGCAUGGAAAGGGAUUAGUAUUGCCACACCUGACACCUUGGGUCAGUGACACUGCAGAAUCAUGUCACAUCUAGGCUUCCAACCAAGAGAAGAAAAACAGCCUUCAAACAAGGAGAGGCUCAGAAUACUUCCUUACAGCCCCGCCAAGCCACUCAACUCGUUCUUCCUGGUCUACGUUUUCUGAUCUCCUAUCUCAGGCCAGAUCCCUGGUGAGGGCUCCUCCCUCAAGGUUGUCUCCUAAAAGGGGUAGAGAAACCCUAACUCAAAUGGGGGUUCAAUUUUACAGAAUAACUGGAAGCCCUUUCAGUUUGCUCUGUUAUGCAACAAUAACCACCCCAAAAAGUGUGUAGGGUGGGGGGAGCCUGGGGCUGUAGC